This 467-nucleotide ribosomal RNA is filed under the name uncultured bacterium. Its description in RNAcentral is "partial 16S ribosomal RNA". It matches the Rfam family "Bacterial small subunit ribosomal RNA", at positions 28 to 507 of the family's 1533-position model. The record is from RNAcentral.
GACGAACGCUGGCGGCGUGCUUAACACAUGCAAGUCGAACGGAAAGGCCUCUUUCGGGGGGUACUCGAGUGGCGAACGGGUGAGUAACACGUGAGUAACCUGCCCUUGACUUUGGGAUAACUUCAGGAAACUGGGGCUAAUACCGGAUAGGAGCUCCUGCUGCAUGGUGGGGGUUGGAAAGUUUCGGCGGUUGGGGAUGGACUCGCGGCUUAUCAGCUUGUUGGUGGGGUAGUGGCUUACCAAGGCUUUGACGGGUAGCCGGCCUGAGAGGGUGACCGGCCACAUUGGGACUGAGAUACGGCCCAGACGCCUACGGGAGGCAGCAGUGGGGAAUAUUGCACAAUGGGUGGAAGCCUGAUGCAGCAACGCCGUGUGCGGGAUGACGGCCUUCGGGUUGUAAACCGCUUUCGCUCAUGACGAAGCUUUGUGUGACGGUAGUGGGUAAAGAAGCACCGGCUAACUACGUG